This is a long non-coding RNA of Astyanax mexicanus (Mexican tetra), 568 nucleotides long. RefSeq lists it as uncharacterized. The transcript has 5 exons. NCBI's taxonomy places the organism in Eukaryota, Metazoa, Chordata, Actinopteri, Characiformes, Acestrorhamphidae. The record is from RefSeq and is a predicted model, not a curated record.
ACGCCAUUCAGUCUUUCUCAUACGGCUCCGAGAGGAAGAGUGUAGUGCAGAGAUGGCUAAAGUCUGUAUAAGCAAACACCAUGGGUGUGUUUCCAGUUUUUACGCAUUAAUGGAGAAAUAUCUCACUCGACAAUGGCUUUCGAUGGGCGCGAGUUGAGAUAAUUUGUGCUUACUACAUUAGUUAAAACCUAGUUACUGAAGAGUUCAGGAGAACCACGUGGCUGAAGGAGGCACGAUGCGGCACAAGGUAUGGUGCUGCAGCCCUGCAUCUCACAAUAAACUAUGUCCAAAUCCACCACAGUGCAGGGCGGAAAGGAACAACUGAGGCUUGAGCCUUAUUAUUAAAAGGCAGAACCUCCUUCCACGUGCUGGAAGAAACAAUUGCUCGUUACUACAUGAGUUAAUAAGGGACCAUGUGAUCCAAGGAUUCAAGAAGAUUUUAAGUAAGGCGGGGCACUGGACAAAGCAGUAAAAGCUGUUGAGCGGAAGAACGUGAAAAUCAAACCUGCAACAGUACAUGUGUGGCAUGCGGAAUAAAAUUUUUAAUUAAAUAAACUUGUUAACCUGA